CGGUCACAACGUUGAAAAACCGGUUCCCCUACGAUCAUCGAAGUUAAGCAACGUCGAGCCUGUUCAUUUCCUGAAUGGGCGACCGCUUGGGAAUACCAGAUGCUGUAUG
Acanthosepion pharaonis is the source of this 109-nucleotide non-coding RNA. The record is from the annotation of a GenBank genome assembly. Lineage: Eukaryota; Metazoa; Mollusca; Cephalopoda; Sepiida; Sepiidae.